AGGGCUUGCAAGGGAUCCCUUGGUAUUCAGAAGCGAUAAAGGACGUGGUUACCUGCGAAAUGCUUUGGGGAGUUGGAAGUAAGCUUUGAUCCGAAGAUUUCCGAAUGAGGAAACUCUAUAACUUUUUAGCGUAAUAUUACGCUAAAAAGAGCAAACUCAGAGAAUUGAAACAUCUUAGUAUCUGAAGGAAAAUAAAGUAAAAACGAUUCCCUUAGUAGUGGCGAACGAAAUGGGAACAGUCUAAACCUAAAUAAUUAUAAGAUUAGGGGUUGUAGGAUAAAUAGUUGUGCUUAUUUUUUUAUAGCAUUCUUAUAAAAAAUUUAGGUUAAUUAGUUGGAAAACUAAACUAUAAAAAGUGAAAGUCUUGUAACCGAAAAUUGAUUAAAUAAUUUAAUGCUAUUUAAUCCUAAGUAGCAUGGGACACGUGGAAUCCCGUGUGAAUCUGUGAGGACCACCUCAUAAGACUAAAUAUUCCUGGAUAUCCGAUAGUGAACUAGUACCGUGAGGGAAAGGUGAAAAGAACCCCGGAAGGGGAGUGAAAUAGAUUGUGAAAUUGCAAGCUUACAAACAGAAGUCAAAUGACUUAGCGUUUAACUUCGUGCCUGUUGAAGAAUGUUCCGGCGACUUAUAAUUAGUGGCUAGGUUAAAAUAUAAAAUAUUGGAGCCAGAGUGAAAGCGAGCUUGAAUAGAGCAUACAAUUAUGUCACUAAUUAUAGACCCGAACCCACUUGAUCUAACCAUGGCCAGGAUGAAGCUUAGGUAUAACUUGGUGGAGGUCCGAACCGACUAAUGUUGAAAAAUUAGCGGAUGAGCUGUGGUUAGGGGUGAAAUGCCAAUCGAAAGUGGAGCUAGCUGGUUCUCCCCGAAAUGUAUUUAGGUGCAGCGGUUAAUAUUUUAACGUAGGGGUAAAGCACUGUUUCGACGCGGGGCGGUAACACGUUACCAAAUCUAGGCAAACUCUGAAUACUACGUGUAUAAUUAACCAGUAAGACUACGAGGGAUAAGCUUCAUAGUCAAAAGGGAAACAGCCCAGAUCACCAGCUAAGGCCCCUAAAUAUUUACUAAGUGAUAAAGGUGGUGAAAAGGCUAUGACAACCAGGAGGUUUGCUUAGAAGCAGCAACCCUUUAAAAAGUGCGUAAUAGCUUACUGGUCAAGCAAUUUUGCGCCGAAAAUUAAUGGGACUAAGUAAUUUGCCGAAGCUGUGAGAUAUCUUUUACUUCUUUAUUUAAAUAAAGAAGUAAAAGAUAUCGGUAGGGGAGCGUUCCAUUAUAGAAUGAAGUAUUAGCGAAAGCGAAUAUAGACCAAAUGGAAGUGAGAAUGUCGGAUUGAGUAGCGAAAACAUUAGUGAGAAUCUAAUGCUCCGAAAUCCUAAGGUUUCCUCCGGAAGGUUCGACCGCGGAGGGUUAGUCAGGGCCUAAGGUGAGGCUGAAAAGCGUAAUCGAUGGAUAGCAGGUUAAUAUUCCUGCACAUCUCAUUAUAAAUAAUAAGGGACGGAGUCUCUAAGUAUUAAUUAAGGGUUGGAGCAAUCUUUUUUCAUUAUAAUUUUUAUUAAAUAUAAAAUUAAUUAUUGUAAACUUAAUUUAAUGCGUAUGUAAUUUAAAAUAAAUAUUAAUACUAAAUAAAAUAUGGUUAAAUAUCGAACUCAAUUCACGCUGUUUUUGAGUUUUAUAUUAAAAGAGUAAAAACAGCAAUAUAAUUAAAAGACUAUUUAAAAAAAAGUAUGGAGAUUACUACUUUUAAAAAAUUAAAAAUAAAAAAACAUAAAUAUUAUUUAUUUUAAGUUACAUGCGCAUAAUUGAAUAUACGAUUAUUUUGUUUUAAAAUAAAAUAUUGGUAUACUUCUUUAAAAUGAAUAGACUUCCAAGAAAAGCUUAAAGUUUUGUAUAUGAUAAAUAUCUAUACUAAAUUAAUGAGAUCCUGUACCUUAAACCGACACAGGUGGGAAAGUAGAGAAUACUAAGGAGCGCGAGAGAACCCUCCUUAAGGAACUCGGCAAAAUAACUCUGUAACUUCGGAAGAAAGAGUGCCCAUAGGGCUGCAAUAUCAAGUUCCAAGCAACUGUUUAGCAAAAACACAGGUCUCCGCUAAGUUGUAAGACGACGUAUGGGGGCUGACGCCUGCCCAGUGCCGUAAGGUGAAGGAAAUCUGUUAACUCUAAAGGUGAAGCUCAUAACCGAAGCCCCGGUGAACGGCGGCCGUAACUAUAACGGUCCUAAGGUAGCGAAAUUCCUUGUCGGGUAAGUUCCGACCUGCACGAAUGGCGUAAUGAUUUGGAAGCUGUCUCAAGGAGGGACUCGGCGAAAUAGAAUUGUCUGUGAAGAUGCGGACUACCUGUGCCAGGACAUUAAGACCCUAUGAAGCUUUACUGUAUCCUGAUAUUGAUUUUUGAUUUUUUUUACGCAGAAUAGGUGGGAGACGUUGAUGUUUUCUUUGUGGGGAAAAAGGAGUUGAUCGUGAGAUACCACUUUUAAAAAAUUGAAAUUCUAAUUUUAUAUUGUUAGCCAAUUGAAAAACAGUAUCAGGUGGGCAGUUUGACUGGGGCGGUCGCCUCCUAAAAGGUAACGGAGGCGCACAAAGGUUUUCUCAAAUCGUUUAUAAGUCGAUUUUAGAGUGCAAAGACAAAAGAAAGCUUAACUGUGAGACUGACAAGUCAAACAGAGACGAAAGUCGGUCUUAGUGAUCUGACGCUACUGUGUGGAAAGGGCGUCACUCAACGGAUAAAAGUUACUCUAGGGAUAACAGGCUGAUCUCCCCCAAGAGUUCCUAUCGACGGGGAGGUUUGGCACCUCGAUGUCGGCUCAUCGCAUCCUGGGGCGGUAAUACGUCCCAAGGGUUGGGCUGUUCGCCCAUUAAAGCGGUACGCGAGCUGGGUUCAGAACGUCGUGAGACAGUUCGGUCCAUAUCCGGCAUGGGCGUUAGAGUAUUGAGAGUGGCCUUUCUUUAGUACGAGAGGACCGAGAAAGACAUACCGCUGGUGUACCAGUUAUUAUGCCAAUAGUAAACGCUGGGUAGCUACGUAUGGUUAGGAUAACCACUGAAGGCAUCUAAGUGGGAAGCCGUCCUCAAGAUGAGUACUCUUAGGUUAUGGCAAGACUAGCCGUUUGAUAGGCACUCAGUGUAAUUAGGGUAACCUAUUUAGCUAAGGUGUACUAAAAUCCGUUUUUAUUAUU
This 3171-nucleotide ribosomal RNA is filed under the name groundwater metagenome. RNAcentral's name for it is "bacterial LSU rRNA". It matches the Rfam family "Bacterial large subunit ribosomal RNA". The record is from RNAcentral.